This 273-nucleotide ribosomal RNA is filed under the name uncultured bacterium. RNAcentral's name for it is "partial 16S ribosomal RNA". It matches the Rfam family "Bacterial small subunit ribosomal RNA", at positions 524 to 793 of the family's 1533-position model. The record is from RNAcentral.
UACGGAGGGUGCGAGCGUUAAUCGGAAUUACUGGGCGUAAAGCGCGCGUAGGCGGUUAUUUAAGUGAGGUGUGAAAUCCCUGGGCUCAACCUAGGAACUGCAUUUCAAACUGGAUAACUUGAGUAUGUCAGAGGGUAGUUGGAAUUUCCCCGUGUAGCAGUGAAAUGCGUAGAUAUGGGAAGGAACAUCAGUGGCGAAGGCGAAUACCUGGGAUAAUACUGACGCUGAGGUGACGAAAGCGUGGGGAGCAAACGGGAUUAGAUACCCUGGUAG